AACGAACGCUGGCGGCAGGCUUAACACAUGCAAGUCGAGCGCACUCUUCGGAGUGAGCGGCGGACGGGUUAGUAACGCGUGGGAACGUGCCUUUCUCUAAGGAAUAGCCACUGGAAACGGUGAGUAAUACCUUAUACGCCCUUCGGGGAAAGGAUUUAUCGGAGAGAGAUCGGCCCGCGUUAGAUUAGGUAGUUGGUGGGGUAAGUGGCCUACCAAGCCUACGAUCUAUAGCUGGUUUUAGAGGAUGAUCAGCAACACUGGGACUGAGAC
Molecule: ribosomal RNA, 270 nt
Filed under: uncultured Alphaproteobacteria bacterium
Lineage: Bacteria; Pseudomonadati; Pseudomonadota; Alphaproteobacteria
Description: partial 16S ribosomal RNA
Rfam family: Bacterial small subunit ribosomal RNA
Source: RNAcentral